GCUGGCCGGGUCGCUCUGGCAGUGCACGUAGACAGCUUUCAUCCAAUACCCUGUGAANCNUUGGCCUCUUGCUAGCUUCGGCCAGCAGAGGAUUUUACACACACUCGAAUGUAAUGAAAUUAUUGUUGUGCACCGCACUACUAUACAACUUUCAACAACGGAUCUCUUGGCUCUCGCAUCGAUGAAGAACGCAGCGAAAUGCGAUAAGUAAUGUGAAUUGCAGAAUUCAGUGAAUCAUCGAAUCUUUGAACGCACCUUGCACCCUUUGGUAUUCCGAAGGGUAUGCUCGUUUGAGUGUCAUUGUACUCUCACACUUCCGAUUGUUUGGAUCGGGAGCGGUGGACUUGGGUGUUGCUGCUUUACUGUGGCUCACCUUAAAUGCAGUAGUGCACCUUUCGGUUGGACAUAGUACGGCGUGAUAAGUGUCUUCGCCGGCACCUCCUC
This 444-nucleotide ribosomal RNA is filed under the name Sebacina sp. YM2552. RNAcentral's name for it is "eukaryotic LSU rRNA". The stretch from base 147 to 300 matches the Rfam family "5.8S ribosomal RNA". Lineage: Eukaryota; Fungi; Basidiomycota; Agaricomycetes; Sebacinales; Sebacinaceae. The record is from RNAcentral.